Pelobates cultripes (western spadefoot toad) is the source of this 288-nucleotide non-coding RNA. The record is from the annotation of a GenBank genome assembly. Lineage: Eukaryota; Metazoa; Chordata; Amphibia; Anura; Pelobatidae.
UCCACUGAAUGUCCUAUAACUUCUUGCAGUUUUCAAAGUCAUUUAAACGUUCCCUAUUUCAGAAGUGGGUGAAAGUAAGAGUCGACAAUGUGACAGUAAUAGCCUACUUAAUCAUCAAGGAGGGACCAGGAGCCAUCAUUUGAUAAGCAUCCUAAAACCCAUGAUGUCUUGGGUCCAAAAGAAUCUUCAAGGACUAGUGGCUGUUAAUCUACCGCAUCAAGACAACAUGGUGACAGAUUAUCUGAGAAGGUAGAAGAUAGACAAGAGAGAAUGGGCUCUAUCAAGCAA